GCUCCUGUCGCUCAGCGGUUAGAGCAGGCGGCUCAUAACCGUUAGGUCGCGGGUUCGACACCCGCCAGGAGCA
Molecule: transfer RNA, 73 nt
Filed under: Planctomycetota bacterium
Lineage: Bacteria; Pseudomonadati; Planctomycetota
Description: tRNA-Ile
Rfam family: tRNA
About the family: Transfer RNA (tRNA) molecules are approximately 80 nucleotides in length. Their secondary structure includes four short double-helical elements and three loops (D, anti-codon, and T loops).
Source: RNAcentral